AUUGAACGCUGGCGGCAUGCCUUACACAUGCAAGUCGAACGGCAGCACGGGAGCAAUCCUGGUGGCGAGUGGCGAACGGGUGAGUAAUAUAUCGGAACGUGCCCAGUCGUGGGGAUAACGUAGCGAAAGCUACGCUAAUACCGCAUACGAUCUAUGGAUGAAAGCGGGGGAUCGCAAGACCUCGCGCGAUUGGAGCGGCCGAUAUCAGAUUAGGUAGUUGGUGAGGUAAAGGCUCACCAAGCCGACGAUCUGUAGCUGGUCUGAGAGGACGACCAGCCACACUGGGACUGAGACACGGCCCAGACUCCUACGGGAGGCAGCAGUGGGGAAUUUUUGGGACAAUGGGUGCAAGCCUGAUCCAGCAAUGCCGCGUGCAGGAUGAAGGCCUUCGGGUUGUAAAC
This 401-nucleotide ribosomal RNA is filed under the name uncultured bacterium. Its description in RNAcentral is "bacterial SSU rRNA". It matches the Rfam family "Bacterial small subunit ribosomal RNA", at positions 30 to 430 of the family's 1533-position model. The record is from RNAcentral.